ACGGACAGACAGUACAGUUGCAUGCUACUUUAGGAAAUGGCUGAAGACUGCUAGGAGAUGCUCCUUCUCAGGCCUGCAUGAAAAAUAUUGAUUUUGAUUAAAAAGCAUCGACUUAAUGUAUAUUAGUAUGUAAAUGCUGUCUUAAAUAGCUCAGUAGAAGUAAUGAGAAGAUUAUAGUGAUCUAGGUUAGCAGUCGUACUCUGAAGAGGAAAGAAGUAUUUUGAAUCUAGGAAAGUGUUCUGAAGUAAGUCAAGUCCUAUUCAGAAUAGAUUUCUUGACUAUAACCUAUUGCUUUAUGUGUCUAACUUUGCACAUGACUGUGUGGUAUUCUACUAUAUGUAUAAUAAGCCUUUUAAAGACUUUAUGUAUGUAAUUAUAACCAGGGUAUAAAAUAUUUAAACAUUUCCUAUUCACUUGUAGCUCAUAUUUAAUAUGCUGUCACAUAAUAAUGCUUAUGAAGUUAUUCUUAAUGUUUAUAAUCAGUGGAGCUUGAAAACAGAUAGUUGAAAUUGAAGUGCAUUUUCAGAACCCUCCUCUAUCAACAUCAUAUCCCUUGUGCUACAUUUCACACAUGUUUGUUUAGAUCCCCUUGCAGAUGACAGCCCUUCAAAAGCUAAAAUUCAGCAUGUGGAUGUGUCACUUAGCAAGGAAUUAAAAACAGAUUGUAAAUGUAAGGAUGGGGAAAUACCAGACUCUCUUCAAGAUGAAAGAAUGUUCAAAAGUAGCAGGAAAAAAGUCAGAAAGAUGGGGCAAAACCAGAUGAGGUUGAACCAAAUAAGGCUUUUGAAAGCAGCAAAGACAUCAAGACUGAAGAUGGCAGCAAAGGCAACAACUCAGAAAGGGUAGAGACAUAAAAAAUGGAGGUCCUGCAGGUUCUAUUUGUACAUGGUGAUACUUCAGUCUU
Long non-coding RNA from Dryobates pubescens (Downy woodpecker), 904 nucleotides. RefSeq lists it as uncharacterized. The record is from RefSeq and is a predicted model, not a curated record. The transcript has 3 exons. Lineage: Eukaryota; Metazoa; Chordata; Aves; Piciformes; Picidae.